Molecule: transfer RNA, 23 nt
Filed under: Potentilla tanacetifolia
Lineage: Eukaryota; Viridiplantae; Streptophyta; Magnoliopsida; Rosales; Rosaceae
Description: partial transfer RNA-Phe
Source: RNAcentral
GGUCGGGAUAGCUCAGCUGGUAG